AAAACGACUCUCGGCAACGGAUAUCUCGGCUCUCGCAUCGAUGAAGAACGUAGCAAAAUGCGAUACUUGGUGUGAAUUGCAGAAUCCCGUGAACCAUCGAGUUUUUGAACGCAAGUUGCGCCCGAAGCCAUUAGGUUGAGGGCACGUCUGCCUGGGCGUCUCGC
RNAcentral lists this ribosomal RNA (164 nucleotides) under Impatiens mirabilis. RNAcentral's name for it is "5.8S ribosomal RNA". It matches the Rfam family "5.8S ribosomal RNA". Rfam says of the family: 5.8S ribosomal RNA (5.8S rRNA) is a component of the large subunit of the eukaryotic ribosome. It is transcribed by RNA polymerase I as part of the 45S precursor that also contains 18S and 28S rRNA. Functionally, it is thought that 5.8S rRNA may be involved in ribosome translocation. Lineage: Eukaryota; Viridiplantae; Streptophyta; Magnoliopsida; Ericales; Balsaminaceae. RNAcentral also lists the same sequence under 1 other name. The record is from RNAcentral.